AUUGAACGCUGGCGGCAGGCCUAACACAUGCAAGUCGAACGAGUGGCGGACGGGUGAGUAAUGUCUGGGAAACUGCCUGAUGGAGGGGGAUAAAUACUGGAAACGGUAGCUAAUACCGCAUACCAUCAGAUGUGCCCAGAUGGGAUUAGCUAGUUGGUGGGGUAACGGCUCACCAAGGCGACGACCCCUAGCUGGUAUGAGAGGAUGACCACCCACACUAGAACUGUGACACGGUCCAGACUCCUACGGGAGGCAUCAGUGGGGAAUAUUGCACAAUGGGCGCAAGCCUGAUGCAGCCAUGCCGGGUGUAUGAAGAAGGCCUUCGGGUUGUAAAGUACUUUCAGCGGGGAGGCGUUACCCGCAGAAGAAGCACCGGCUAACUCCGUGCCAGCCGCCGCGGUAAUUC
This 406-nucleotide ribosomal RNA is filed under the name uncultured bacterium. RNAcentral describes it as "partial 16S ribosomal RNA". It matches the Rfam family "Bacterial small subunit ribosomal RNA", at positions 30 to 526 of the family's 1533-position model. The record is from RNAcentral.